This 464-nucleotide ribosomal RNA is filed under the name uncultured bacterium. Its description in RNAcentral is "partial 16S ribosomal RNA". It matches the Rfam family "Bacterial small subunit ribosomal RNA", at positions 43 to 523 of the family's 1533-position model. The record is from RNAcentral.
CAUGCUUAACACAUGCAAGUCGAACGGUAACAGGCCUAGCUUGCUAGGUGCUGACGAGUGGCGGACGGGUGAGUAACGCGUAGGGAUCUGCCUGACAGAGGGGGAUAACCUGGGGAAACUCAGGAUAAUACCGCGUAAGCCCUAAGGGGGAAAGGAUGGGACCGCAAGGCCAUUCGCUGACAGAUGACCCUGCGUUGGAUUAGCUUGUUGGUGGGGUAACGGCCUACCAAGGCGACGAUCCAUAGCUGGUCUGAGAGGACGACCAGCCACACUGGGACUGAGACACGGCCCAGACUCCUACGGGAGGCAGCAGUGGGGAAUAUUGGACAAUGGGCGCAAGCCUGAUCCAGCCAUGCCGCGUGAGUGAUGAAGGCCUUAGGGUUGUAAAGCUCUUUCAGCGGGGAAGAUAAUGACGGUACCCGCAGAAGAAGCCCCGGCUAACUUCGUGCCAGCAGCCGCGGUAA